GUGGGGAAUAUUGGACAAUGGGCGAAAGCCUGAUCCAGCCAUGCCGCGUGUGUGAAGAAGGUCUUCGGAUUGUAAAGCACUUUAAGUUGGGAGGAAGGGCAGUAAGUUAAUACCUUGCUGUUUUGACGUUACCAACAGAAUAACCACCGGCUAACUUCGUGCCAGCAGCCGCGGUAAUACGAAGGGUGCAAGCGUUAAUCGGAAUUACUGGGCGUAAAGCGCGCGUAGGUGGUUUUGUAAGUUGGAGGUGAAAUCCCCGGGCUCAACCUGGGAACUGCAUCCAAAACUGCAUGACUAGAGUACGGUAGAGGGUAGUGGAAUUUCCUGUGUAGCGGUGAAAUGCGUAGAUAUAGGAAGGAACACCAGUGGCGAAGGCGACUACCUGGACUGAUACUGACACUGAGGUGCGAAAGCGUGGGGAGCAAACAGGAUUAGAAACCCUAGUAGUCC
RNAcentral lists this ribosomal RNA (450 nucleotides) under uncultured bacterium. RNAcentral's name for it is "partial 16S ribosomal RNA". It matches the Rfam family "Bacterial small subunit ribosomal RNA", at positions 354 to 796 of the family's 1533-position model. The record is from RNAcentral.